RNAcentral lists this ribosomal RNA (484 nucleotides) under uncultured bacterium. RNAcentral describes it as "partial 16S ribosomal RNA". It matches the Rfam family "Bacterial small subunit ribosomal RNA", at positions 30 to 507 of the family's 1533-position model. The record is from RNAcentral.
AUUGAACGCUGGCGGCAGGCCUAACACAUGCAAGUCGAGCGGAUGAAGGGAGCUUGCUCCUGGAUUCAGCGGAGGACGGGUGAGUAAUGCCUAGGAAUCUGCCUGGUAGUGGGGGAUAACGUCCGGAAAUGGGCGCUAAUACCGCAUCCGUCCUGAGGGAGAAAGUGGGGGAUCUUCGGACCUCACGCUAUCAGAUGAGCCCAGGUCGGAUUAGCUAGUUGGUGGGGUAAAGGCCUACCAAGGCGACGAUCCGUAACUGGUCUGAGAGGAUGAUCAGUCACACUGGAACUGAGACACGGUCCAGACUCCUACGGGAGGCAGCAGUGGGGAAUAUUGGACAAUGGGCGAAAGCCUGAUCCAGCCAUGCCGCGUGUGUGAAGAAGGUCUUCGGAUUGUAAAGCACUUUAAGUUGGGAGGAAGGGCAGUAAGUUAAUACCUUGCUGUUUUGACGUUACCAACAGAAUAAGCACCGGCUAACUUCGUG